RNAcentral lists this ribosomal RNA (494 nucleotides) under uncultured bacterium. RNAcentral's name for it is "bacterial SSU rRNA". It matches the Rfam family "Bacterial small subunit ribosomal RNA", at positions 791 to 1283 of the family's 1533-position model. The record is from RNAcentral.
UAGUCCACGCCGUAAACGAUGUUCACUCGCUGUUUGCGAUACACUGCAAGCGGCCAAGCGAAAGCAUUAAGUGAACCACCUGGGGAGUACGUUGGCAACAAUGAAACUCAAAGGAAUUGACGGGGACCCGCACAAGCGGUGGAACAUGUGGUUUAAUUCGAUGAUACGCGAGGAACCUUACCUGGACUUAAAUGUAGAUUGCAUAGAGUGGAGACAUUCUUUUCUUCGGACUAUCUACAAGGUGCUGCAUGGUUGUCGUCAGCUCGUGCCGUGAGGUGUCGGGUUAAGUCCCAUAACGAGCGCAACCCCUAUCGUUAGUUGCCAUCAGGUUAUGCUGGGGACUCUAGCGAAACUGCCUGUGCAAACAGAGAGGGAAGGUGGGGGAUGACGUCAAAUCAGCACGGGCCCUUACGUCCAGGGGCUACACACGUGUUACAAUGGGGCAUAGACAGAGGGGCAGCUACACGGGCGACGUGAUGCGAAUCUCGAAACUA